CUGGUUACACUCCUCUGGCCACUCACCGAGUAGACACCCCAGGGCAACUUCCCAUGCGUCAGACCCCGUAUCGCAUCCCCGAAGCGGUACGGGCGAACAUGCGCAAGGAGAUAGAUGAGAUGCUCCAGCUGGGGGUGAUUGAGCCCUCUGACAGCCCCUGGGCAUCUCCGGUAGUACUAGUACCAAAGCGGGACGGCACGACCCGGUUUUGUGUAGACUACCGGAGAUUAAAUGAGAAGACGGUCUCGGACGCCUAUC
Pelobates cultripes (western spadefoot toad) is the source of this 258-nucleotide non-coding RNA. The record is from the annotation of a GenBank genome assembly. NCBI's taxonomy places the organism in Eukaryota, Metazoa, Chordata, Amphibia, Anura, Pelobatidae.